UGGGGGCUUGUUUCCUAGGAAGGAGAUGCCCCCACCCCCCCGGGGGUGGGGAGAAGGCUGUGUUGGGUGGUCCCUCUGAGCAGUCGUUGAACUCUCUAUGUAGUUGAAGAUGCCCUCAAACUCACGAUCCUCCUGCCUCCAAGUCUUAAGUUCUAGAAUGACAGUAGCUACUCUGCACUAGAAAAACACCCUUGUUACCACACCGGAAGCAACCCCCUGCCUGCGAACCUGCUGUGAGAGUCUCUGCUCCCUUUUCUUUCAUGCAUUGGUUAAGGUGGUACGGAUAAGAGCUAAAAACCACAUAGGAAAGUGGCCUCGCAGGGCUCUCCAGGACCUACCCACCUUGCUGAGGACCAGCAGCCGCUGCUUCUCUUUCUCAUUGGUGGCCAGGGAGGCGAACUGCUGCAGCUGCAGGGGCGUGGGCGGUGUGGUGAUGUCCAGCAUUUCCACCUUCACCACAUGGUUGGCAGGCGGCGCGUCCUCCAGCCGUUCAAUGAGUGCAUUCACGAGAUCCUCAUGGUUGCCAGGGAAGACACCCAGGUGGUCCCCUGGCUGGUAUUGCAGCUCCUGAUUCCCGUUGGUGUGGAGACGCACGAAGAUGGUCGAUCGGCUGCAGGAAACGGGGGGGGGGGUGUCGUGGGACAAAGACCAGCACUCUGUCUCCCCUUUGCCCCUGGUCUGUCUCUCUAGUUUGCAGAGCUCUCCUUCCAUGCUCCCUGGCUCUGGUCGGCUGAGAUGCAUGCCCAGCACCCCCCCCCCCCCCAUAGCUUCUGCCAAGCUCCUCCAGUCAGCUCUCCAUCAUCGAACCAACUGCCAGGUCCUGGGUCAGGGACAUCACACUUGUGAUGGCUCACCUCCUUUCUUGGGGCUGGUCCCCAAGUUCUCAUGGCCUCUCUGGUGUUCCCAGCUCAGUCUUCCAUGCUAGUCCCUUCUCAUCUACCAAGUCCCGAUCCCAGCCACAACCUGCUGAGAUGUAUCCAUCCCCCAUAUCUUUCUGCCUCUUCUUCACUUUCUUCCAUUACAGAAUCCUUUACUUUCUUACUUCUGUGGCUAGUGAUGUAUUCUAGGAUAAUAGGAACACGGUGACGCAGGGCAUUUAUCUAGUAUGGCUGUGGCUUUAUCCCCAUUGAUAGUGGCUGGCACAUAGUAUGUCCCGAGUCCUUGCUGAAGGAAGGCACUUCUGGGUUCCCAGGUAACUAGUUGUUAGCUGCCAUGUCCUUUGUAUCCAUCAGGAUUCUCUCAGGAACCAGCCACUCACUGUAGCUAUAGGUGGAGUGCCUCUGAUUUAUAAAGCUCUACUUAUCACUUCUCAU
Molecule: long non-coding RNA, 1313 nt
Filed under: Mus caroli (Ryukyu mouse)
Lineage: Eukaryota; Metazoa; Chordata; Mammalia; Rodentia; Muridae
Description: predicted gene, 26995 (MGP_CAROLIEiJ_G0003749.1)
Source: RNAcentral